Long non-coding RNA from Poecile atricapillus (Black-capped chickadee), 548 nucleotides. RefSeq lists it as uncharacterized. The transcript has 4 exons. Lineage: Eukaryota; Metazoa; Chordata; Aves; Passeriformes; Paridae. The record is from RefSeq and is a predicted model, not a curated record.
GGCAGUGAGGUCUAGUUAAUACAACUGAGUCUGCCAAGUAAUUCAGGUCACCAGUAUGUGCAACCUGUAUUUGGGCAGUCAAACAGUCCUCCAGACACUGCUGGAUGUCCACAGGUGCUCAGCUGCCUCAGUCACAUGACUGUAACAGCAUGACAUGACAUUCAUUGAAUUUAGGAAAGAGAAGGGAUAAUCUUCAGAAUGAGAAGAAGACAGAAAAUCUACCCAGAAGAAACAAUGACAGAAGAUUCCUCCACAUAUGCAAACACAAAGAGGUCGCUCUGAGGAGACACCAAGAGCCUCUUUAGAAGAGUGGUGAAUGCUUUGAGUAACAUGCCCUGCUCCUGCCAGCACCUCUGGGUUCAGAUUCAAGGCCUACCGCACCCAGUGGGAGUAGGAGAGGAGAACCCAGGAGAUCUAAAAAUCUCAGAGGACUUUCAGCUUGACACUUGAAAUAAAGAGCUGAUGUGAGGCAUUGCAGGACACAAGGUACCCUACCUCAGCCCUGGUCACAAGGAUGCGAAUCAAGGUCUCUUCAUCAGUCCCAGCUC